Molecule: ribosomal RNA, 406 nt
Filed under: uncultured bacterium
Lineage: Bacteria
Description: partial 16S ribosomal RNA
Rfam family: Bacterial small subunit ribosomal RNA
Source: RNAcentral
GACGAACGCUGGCGGCAGGCCUAACACAUGCAAGUCGAACGAGUGGCGGACGGGUGAGUAAUGUCUGGGAAACUGCCCGAUGGAGGGGGAUAACUACUGGAAACGGUAGCUAAUAACGCAUACCAUCGGAUGUGCCCAGAUGGGCUUAGCUAGUAGGUGGGGUAAAGGCUCCCCUAGGCGACGAUCCCUAGCUGGUCUGAGAGGAUGAACAGCCACACUUGAACUGAGACACGGUCCAGACGCCUACGGGAGGCAGCAGUGGGGAAUAGUGCACAAUGGGCGCAAGCCUGAUGCAGCCAUGCCGCGUGUAUGAAGAAGGCCUUCGGGUUGUAAAGUACUUUCAGCGGGGAGGCGUUACUCGCAGAAGAAGCACCGGCUAACUCCGUGCCAGCAGCCGCGGUAAUUC